CAUCUGCUCCCGUCUGCUCUUUCUCCUUUCCAACAACGGCUGCCAUUGUUGGGCCGGCGAUGGUUGCUUCUGCUCCUGUUCGGUGUGGACAGCCACGUCGGGGUCGUCCUCCUGGGAUUCGGGCGGCUGUUAUUGCUCGUGUACGCCGUGCCGGCAUGCCUCUUCCUUCUGCGGAUUCCUCAUCGGUGACGGCAGGCGCUGCUCAGCGUGGUCGGUUGGCUGGGGUUGAUUUAGUGCGGCGUUUCCACUCCGCGUCUCGCCGGCCGCUUCGCUCUCGCCGGGCUGGUGGGUUUACUUAUUUUUCUGUACUUGCAGUUCCAUUUAGAUUGUUCUUCUUCUUGUUUGUUUGGAGUGCAGUCAUCUUAUUUGGUUACUUGAUUUCGUAGGUAGCCAGCGUUCUGACUCGCCCGCGACGUGCUCAGCUCUACACGGACAUAACCACGUCUGCUUGGCGGUGGCUCUCCACGCCAGCGCCCGUUCCUUCUUCACCCGACGACGAUGGCAGCGCCGUGAUCGCAUAGCCUGCGGCCUUCCACAGCGAGCGGCGCGCCGAUCACGCUCGAGGUCGCCCUGCUAACCGUCUUAUCGCCAACGACGUCGAUGAUCACGGCGAGCUCGCCCAUGGAGGGCACCCAGUGCAGCCCUACACCGUUCCACGUUCGUGCAGCGACAGCGGCUGCACCAGACCAGCCCAGAAUACUGCUGCUCCUCGAAGUCGCAGUUCGAGCUGAGAAACAUAGGGGCGCCACAGCGGACGGAGACGUCGACGACGCAGCAUGCGGCGCAGAGCAGGGGGCGUGGCGCCAGCGGAAGGAGACCGUGUUGGCGUCGUGGAUAUGGCGGUCGCACAGCAAGCAGAGCCCCACUGUGUCCGCCCGGAAGUAUACCACGGCCAGCGCGCGGGAGCAUUAGCACUCCGUUGUGGGCACCAUGUCGGCGGCAACCCCUAGCACCAUGCAUGUAUUACUCCACGGAGGGAGUAUGUAAUAGGAGUAGUUUUUAUAGUAAACAGAUGAAGAAUGGCAUGUGCAUGUGGUUCUUGGCUAGAUGCCACUGCACGGAGGAUGCGGCGAUCCUGUAUUUUCAUGCAGGUUCAUUGCACUCUACGCGUGCGGCAGCUGCGACACCUCGCAUCUCGAUCGAUCCGGGUAAGAGUAAUUUGUUCGCCAUCUGCCUCUUUGCUAUAGGAGCUAUGCAUAUGUUUCAUGAUCACAGCCUCUCUGAAUUUAGAAUAUAUGAAUAGACCAUGCAUGACCGGGUGUAUACAUCCGUUAGUUCAACUAGCUAGCUAGCUAGCAAGGAAAAAGGCAGAACCAAAAAAGAGAUCGCAUGCAAGCCUUUGUUCAGGUGUGUCUGUAGCUCGGUGCUUAGCUGUUUUAGCUUUUCCAUAUACGGUGCAGCCGGUUUCGACUUGCAUGUGUAUUCUCAAUUUAGAAUAUAUGAAUGUUUGUCUUCUUGGGAAGUGCCUGUACAAAUUUGGAUCUGAAGAUGCAACUCACGUACUGCAGAAAAUUCUCAGUAGUCAGACUUUGUCAAGAGCCGAAGAAGGACCUAGGCACUCACAAUUUUGGAACUCCCUCAUGGGAUUUAAAGACCUGUUAUUUU
Molecule: long non-coding RNA, 1605 nt
Filed under: Triticum aestivum (bread wheat)
Lineage: Eukaryota; Viridiplantae; Streptophyta; Magnoliopsida; Poales; Poaceae
Description: long non-coding RNA (TAES_LNC001150)
Source: RNAcentral